GUCCAAACGCGUCCUCAGCCGCUGGUGGUGACAGGCAGGUGAGGGAGGGCGCGCUGUAGUAAACCCCAGCAGCGGCCUGUUACUUCGUUAGCGACUCUGUGUCGCUGUCCGGCUUGUUCAGCCUGCUCGUAAAAGCUUACAGGAUGUGUCGCAGUGCUCUUUGAGGUGACCACCUGUUCGCUCCCUCGGCCUUGUGUUCUCAUGGAAACCAGCGCGGUGAAAAGCCAGGCCACUCAGACACACAACAGCCUCUUUGUCUUCCACUCGUCAAAGCCGGAGCUGGGGAAAUGUGACAUGCAGUCAGCGAGCGUGGCUCAGCAUGACCGUUCAAAGCUCACCCGCAUUAAGCGCCACCUGAAAUGGCAGAUGACUCAAAUGUUCCAGAUCUUUGUAUUUUAUUGUGGUAUUUAUAGCCUUAACAGGUUGUGGUGGCGCGGAGGCACUCACCUUGUCCUCAUACUCUACCUGAGUCCAGUGUUCUCUCUUUUCUUUCUUUUUUCUACAAAAUCCCAAACAAAGACAUUAUGAUUUCAAAUUGUCUUGCCAUUAUAAUGUUUGAGGUCAUUCUAAUACUGUACAUGCAGGAAAAGAACAGCUGGUGUCAGCGUUAACAUUGCUGAAAGACUGAGACGGUUAGUGGUCAUUCAGCUGCUUGCUCUCCAGGAGUCAGACCUCUUGCUGCUUACUCAGUGCUGUAGGAUGCUGUCAAAGCCUGAACGUACAGUGGAUGCUGUACGCCGGCUGAACUUGUCUAAUAGCUGGUGCAUUGUCUGCUGCUCUGUGCUCUGGAUUCCAGCCUCAUUCAUUCCAUGCCUCAUUAGCUCUACCAGUCAUUAUCCCGUCUGACCGAUCAAAGGGGAAAUCUUGUGCUGCUAUUAAUAAUUGAUGCUCUCAGGACAGCCUGUCUUUUAACUUCGCUGCCGUUAUAACUGGUUUCCGUCUUCCUUUUCAUUUACACUUCUCUUUCUUCUUCUACUGUUUGUUUUUUAUUUCCCAUUAGCAUUUUCUUUCUGCACAUUAAGUGGAUGUUGUAGUUGUUUUUUUACUGGUGGCCUCACUAGGUGGCAGCAAAGCAACAUAGUACAGUAACAUGUUGCUAGAGAAGUAGGCGAUAAGGAUUCAAUAAAACCACAGACAAAUGCA
This 1143-nucleotide long non-coding RNA is filed under the name Betta splendens (Siamese fighting fish). RNAcentral describes it as "lncRNA (ENSBSLG00000003086.1)". The record is from RNAcentral. Lineage: Eukaryota; Metazoa; Chordata; Actinopteri; Anabantiformes; Osphronemidae.